Non-coding RNA from Bemisia tabaci, 2510 nucleotides. The record is from RefSeq and is a predicted model, not a curated record. NCBI's taxonomy places the organism in Eukaryota, Metazoa, Arthropoda, Insecta, Hemiptera, Aleyrodidae.
CAACUCCUGAUCAGAAUCUAGAAAAAAAACUUAAAUAGUGCUAUCUCUUUUGCAGAUCAUAAAGGAAAAUGUCCGCACUAUCGAAGUACCAAUAUUCAGUUUUGUGGCUUAUCAUUACAGCAAUUUGAUUGACCGGGACACGGUAACAGUCACGGUGUACUCAAUUGUGUCAAAUCCUUCUUAUGAAGACGUUUCAAAGUUGCAAAAGAAUAAUUGCAGCCACGAAUCAUCAUUUCCUUGCCAUUCCCAAGCGGUAGAAAGAUGCGUCAAGGAAGUGACAGAGGUUUCGACCUUGCCCAUCGGACCGGAAGGGAAACACCUAAUCAUCAUCCAACGACUCAACCAUCGGAGCAAAAUGCCGAAGUUUGACACGAAAUCGAAGUUCCGGAUUUGAAGUAGGCCCAGAAACUUCAACGUCUAGAUGCCAUAAGUGAUGCCAAAAAAAAACUCUUAAUUGGAUUUCGCCGUCAUAAAUUGGACACCCUCUAGCUUUCAGCCUGGCGUCGGACAAUCGAAUAACCUACCGCUGGUACGUAUUAAACCAUUUUUUCUUUCUUUUGAUGAGAUCUAAUAUUUAGUGAUAUCUUUACUAAAACUUUUGACUAUUGAUGUAUCUUUUAUAAAGAAAAUUAUCAUACUGAACCCAACUUAAAUGACAGGUAUAUAUCUAUUAUAUUCAAGAGGAAUUCCCAGCUUUACCGUUUUGGUAUUCCGAAGUAUUUUUCUCUGAAAUUUUAUAAGUCUACGCCCUCAAUUUUCACAAAACAGUAUUCCGAGUGAUCUGGUAAUACUCGGACUCCGUCGCGAUUUUUUUUUGAUGGUGCAUAAGAAUUUGGGGAAGCCUAGAUCAGAAGUUCUCGAAUAUUUAAAUCAUCAUAAUAAUGAGAGGCUUUCAAAUAAUGUAAACACCAGGAACGUUUUUGGAAUUAUAAAAUAGAAUAAGCGCCCUAUGAUUCGCUGAAAGAUGACAAAUCAAUAUUCAUGUAUGGAACUCCGGAUCGAGAGUUACAUAGAUUUUCUUAGAAAAUCUUGGGGAAGUGGGGAAAAAUUUCAGAUUCUCAUCGGAGAAUGAGCUCCUGAAAGUCAGGGAAAACGCAGAGAAUAAGCAUAGUUAACAAUUCUCGACACCAUAAGUUAGCUUUUUUCGCCUGAAUAGACCAGGUAUAGAUUUAAGUAUUCUGACAAACGUCUCUUCACCAAAAUUUUACGUAUAACACGAUUCGCUCAACGAAAACUGUAAUCAACUCAUAACCAAGAAAUUAUCCUUGUUGCACUGGUUAUGGGAAAUUUGAAUUGCCCGGUGACAAUAAAAACAAUACUUUUCGUAAGUCAAAUCGCACACUACAACGCAACGGUUUUUCUGCAUUGUCUGGAGAGUAAACAACGAGCAACAGCUGAGUCGAAGCGCAAAGAUUGAUCUUGUCAUAUUUUUCUGCUGCAGAGACUUUCACGGAAACGUACAGUGCGCGAUUUAACUCCCGCAGAGAAUUGUUUUUUUUAUGACCAUGGAAGUGCAGCGUUUCAUUAUGAAGUGCGUCAAAGAACGUUGUGUAUCUCAAUCUUUGCCAUUGUGGAGUCUGGAGUUGGGAAUGAAAUGGACACUACGAAAUAACAGACGACCUGAAAUGGCUCUUGGACUAAUCCGCACUAUCUUAUCGAACAGAAGAAAUACGUAUCAACUACACAACUAUGAAAAGGUAGGGUUCAAGAGAACCUGAACUGACGUGGAAGGACGAAGCUCACCUCGUGUUAAUUUCAACACAAACCAAUUUUUAAUAGGGUUUACUGGUGUAAAACAACAAUUUUCCUUUUUUUUUAAAAAAAAAAAAAAAAAAAAAAAAAAAAAAAAAAAAAAAAAAAAAAAAAAAAAAAAAAAAACGGAAAAAAAACUGUAAAACCUUGUGCAGUUUCUUUCUCGGAAGUGUGCUUUUCAGUUCCUCUUUCGGAAGAACCUCCUUCAUUUCCUUUUUUGGAGGAGCUGUUAUCGAUUACUCCAUUGGAAAGAUGCGCUUCUGAAUGUUUCUAUUUUCUUCUGCUUCCUCCUCGGACGAUACACAGUCGUCAUUAUCAAGUGAUACAACUUCCACUUUCUUUACAUUCGUAAAUUCCGCAAAUUCGUCGUUUCCAGGUUUUCCUCUCUUACAUGGCUGAUCGAGCUCGGCUUCAGAGACCGAAACCGUUUUCCGACCAACUGUCAGCUUAACUGCGUUUUCCCAACAUUUCUUAAACGUGUCUAGAAAGGGGAAAAAAUUAAAUUAAAAAUCGCUACACAUGUCCACACAAACUGAAACCUCUCAAUUACUUGUUACAGGGUUGAUACACUCUUAGCAAAACGUGACAGUUUAUUACAUUAUCACCAUGCAAAAAGAAAACUACUUCUUUCCACUUUUAAAAGUUAACAUAUAGUUCAGUCAUCAAUUUGCAUAAUUCUGAGUCGAUAGAAAGAGGUUGGUGAUUCGAGUGAUGAUGAACUGAUGGCAUUUUCAAUAAAAUUCCAAUUGAUAACGCAA